UUAACGCAAAUUUGUAUGGAGUUGCAACAGCGCCCCUAGCGGCAAACUUAGUCAAAUGUUCCAACUCCAUACAAAUUUGAGUUA
Molecule: microRNA precursor, 84 nt
Filed under: Bombyx mori (domestic silkworm)
Lineage: Eukaryota; Metazoa; Arthropoda; Insecta; Lepidoptera; Bombycidae
Description: mir-2807 microRNA precursor family
Rfam family: mir-2807 microRNA precursor family
Source: Rfam by way of RNAcentral